RNAcentral lists this ribosomal RNA (462 nucleotides) under uncultured bacterium. RNAcentral describes it as "partial 16S ribosomal RNA". It matches the Rfam family "Bacterial small subunit ribosomal RNA", at positions 28 to 507 of the family's 1533-position model. The record is from RNAcentral.
GACGAACGCUGGCGGCGUGCUUAACACAUGCAAGUCGAACGGUAAGGCCUUUCGGGGUACACGAGUGGCGAACGGGUGAGUAACACGUGGGUGAUCUGCCCUGCACUUCGGGAUAAGCCCGGGAAACUGGGUCUAAUACCGGAUAGGACUGCGCGGUGCAUGCCGUGUGGUGGAAAGAUUUAUCGGUGCAGGAUGGGCCCGCGGCCUAUCAGCUUGUUGGUGGGGUAAUGGCCUACCAAGGCGACGACGGGUAGCCGGCCUGAGAGGGCGACCGGCCACACUGGGACUGAGACACGGCCCAGACUCCUACGGGAGGCAGCAGUGGGGAAUAUUGCACAAUGGGCGCAAGCCUGAUGCAGCGACGCCGCGUGAGGGAUGACGGCCUUCGGGUUGUAAACCUCUUUCAGCAGGGACGAAGCGUGAGUGACGGUACUUGCAGAAGAAGCACCGGCCAACUACGUG